CCUCUCACCCCACGAACCCUAGCGCUCCCUCUCCCUCACGCGCUCCCUCUCCCCUCGUCUCCCACAUCGCCGCCGCCACCCCGCUGAUCCCACCCCUUCCUGAUUCAGAUCCGACCCCGCUGCCCGCGCCCGCGCUCCUCCUCGCCUCCCAGAGAACGUCCGCCGCUCUUCCUCCGCCCGUCCUGGAGGCCUCAGUCAGUGCCCUCCGCCGCAGGGCCGGCAGCGCCUACGCCCGUAGCUACCAGCCAACUACUUCGGCAACGCCAUCGCGCGGGACCUCGUGACGGUGCGCGUGGGGGACAUGCUGUCACAGCCGCUGGGGUUUGUGGCGGAGCGGAUCAAGCGCGCGGUGGCGCGGGUGGACGACGCGUUCGUGUGCUCGGUCAUCGACUACCUGGAGCUGGAGUCUAUUGGUACCCCCUUCGUCUCAAGUCCCUGGCCAUGGGGCUUCUCCAGCCGGCGCGUCCUCUCAGCGAGCAGAUCUUGCACCUCACGCCGAUGGUCUCCGUCGUCCUGGCGGAGGACUGCUACCUUCAGGGCCACUAUGGGUUUCUGAGUGUGCCUAUGGACCUCGUACCAACAAGGUCACCGUCUUUGGGCGAGGUGCUUCGCGAGGCUGGAAGAGGUUUUCUGCAUCUGUAUUUCCCGACGAGAUCUGCUUGGCCUUGCCAUGUAUCUUUGAUGAGACUGACCUCCGCUUCCAGAGCCAUGCAGUGCUGGCCCUUCAGGAGGCUGCAGAGGCCUACCUGGUGGGUCUCUUCGAGGACACCAACGUGUGCGCCAUCCAUGCCAAGCACGUGACCAUCAUGCCUAAGGACAUUCAGUUGGCUAGGAGGAUCCGUGGCGAGAGGGCUUAAGGUUGCGGAUUGGUGCUGCUGGCCUCAACAGGGCACCUUGCACUACCCGUGUAAGUGCGUUUGAGAAGGCAGUGAGGUUGUUCGUGGAAAAGCCGACGGAUAAUGUAAUCACUCCAGUGCUGGAAACAGUGAGGAUCACAAGGUGAAGAUGAGGUGCUGGUAUGGUCAUGGUAAGAGAUCCUCCUCCACGCCUCAUGGGAUGCAAUAUCAUGCUUGCUCUUGUGAAAUCGAUGAUGAUGCUCUGAAUGUUAUUUCUAUUGCCAUUGUGGAUUAGCUUCUGCCCCUCAAAUGCUAUUGGCAAGUUGCAUCCCUUGACUCCGUGGAUGAGUAGAAUUAUCAUGAGUAGUAUACAACCUGAGAUGUCUGAUUGUAUACAACCUGCACCUCAAAAUUGAUAUGUUCCCUGUUGUGUCUUUGAUUGAAAAGGAUUCUUCAUUAUAAACUCUUCUAUCUGUGAUAAGUGCAACUAGAAGAAUUUGUCACAUCUAAAAUUCUGUAAUCCCUAAUAGAUGAAACUUGAGCAUUACAAAGUUUCAUUUCUGUGGGGCACUACUGUCUAGAGCUUUGCUCCACUCUCAAUUUCUUUAGAAUUACAGAGAUCCAGUGGCAAUGCUUUAGAGAACUAUCUGAUCUGUUUCAGAAUGUGAGAUCAAUUGAGAUCCAGUGGCAAUGCUUUUGAGAUC
RNA transcript from Triticum dicoccoides, 1540 nucleotides. RefSeq lists it as uncharacterized. The transcript has 6 exons. The record is from RefSeq and is a predicted model, not a curated record. NCBI's taxonomy places the organism in Eukaryota, Viridiplantae, Streptophyta, Magnoliopsida, Poales, Poaceae.